CGCACAUUGCGCCCCUUGGUAUUCCAUUGGGCAUGCCUGUUCGAGCGUCAUUUACACCCUCAAGCGCAGCUUGGUGUUGGGCGUUUGUCUGUAUCUUAGCGUACGGACUCGCCUUAAAGGUAUUGGCAGCGGCUCCUGUCGGCUUCUUUGCGCAGCACUUGCGCUUCUCGAAGUAUUGAUAAGGGCUAGCGUCCACUAAAGAACCCCCCCAGUUUGACCUCGAAUCAGGUAGGGAUACCCGCUGAACUUAA
Molecule: unclassified non-coding RNA, 251 nt
Filed under: Dendryphiella vinosa
Lineage: Eukaryota; Fungi; Ascomycota; Dothideomycetes; Pleosporales; Dictyosporiaceae
Description: partial contains 5.8S ribosomal RNA, internal transcribed spacer 2, and large subunit ribosomal RNA
Source: RNAcentral